AACGCGAAGAACCUUACCAGGUCUUGACAUCCCUUGACAACUCCAGAGAUGGAGCGUUCCCUUCGGGGACAAGGUGACAGGUGGUGCAUGGUUGUCGUCAGCUCGUGUCGUGAGAUGUUGGGUUAAGUCCCGCAACGAGCGCAACCCUUAUUACUAGUUGCCAGCAUUUAGUUGGGCACUCUAGUGAGACUGCCGGUGACAAACCGGAGGAAGGUGGGGAUGACGUCAAAUCAUCAUGCCCCUUAUGACCUGGGCUACACACGUGCUACAAUGGCGUAUACAACGAGUUGCCAACCCGCGAGGGUGAGCUAAUCUCUUAAAGUACGUCUCAGUUCGGAUUGUAGGCUGCAACUCGCCUACAUGAAGUCGGAAUCGCUAGUAAUCGCGGAUCAGCACGCCGCGGUGAAUACGUUCCCGGGUCUUGUACACACCGAG
This 435-nucleotide ribosomal RNA is filed under the name uncultured Weissella sp. RNAcentral's name for it is "bacterial SSU rRNA". It matches the Rfam family "Bacterial small subunit ribosomal RNA", at positions 958 to 1394 of the family's 1533-position model. Lineage: Bacteria; Bacillati; Bacillota; Bacilli; Lactobacillales; Lactobacillaceae. The record is from RNAcentral.